RNAcentral lists this long non-coding RNA (1484 nucleotides) under Heterocephalus glaber (naked mole-rat). Its description in RNAcentral is "lncRNA (ENSHGLG00100032900.1)". Lineage: Eukaryota; Metazoa; Chordata; Mammalia; Rodentia; Bathyergidae. The record is from RNAcentral.
GUAGGUCUUAUUUUCAAGAAAACAUGCAUACCACAUGUGUGUUCAUGCAUCAGUUUAUGGACGUUUGGGUUGUUUCUUCUUUUUGGCUAUUAUGAAUGACAUGGUUAUGGAUAUUCAUGUUUCAAAUACAACGUUUUUGUUGUUGUUGUUUUUGGUGUUUUGAGACAGUCUCAUUUUGUUGUGCAGGCUGGCCUUGAACUUGCAGCGACCCUCCUGCCUCACCUCCUGAGUGCUGGGAUUAUAAGCGUGUGCUACCGUGCCUGGCUCAAAUACAAGUUUUUAAUGUGGCCUAGGUUUUCCUUUCUCUUGGGCAUAUACCUUGCAGUGGAAUUUCUGAGUCAUGUGCUGACGCUGAAAACAUUCUGAGGAACUGUCAGACUGUUUCCCAGAGCAGCCAUGCCAUUUGCCCCCACGGCCACGUGACAGUUCACAUUUUCCGAGACAUCGUAACACUUCUUUUUAUCUUUAUUUUUUCCUUCUGGUCAUAGCCUUUCUAGUGGGUGCCAGGUGGUAUCUCUUUGGAGGUUUGAUUUGCAUUAUCCCAUUGGCGAAUGAUGUUUAACAUCAUUUCCUGCUUACUGACCAGUCAUAUAAGUUCUGUGGAGAAAUGCAUAUACAAAUUCUUCGCCCCUUUUGACUGUUUAUAGGAAACAAACAUUACUUUGAUGAUCAGAAAAAAAUCCAGCAUUGUCUUCAAACUCUGUGCUGCCGUGUCACACAGGUCGGAAGCCGUCUCUGCGGGUCUCUCAGCUCUGUUGCACACUGGACCUCUGAGGAGCUGCAAGUGGUGUAUGCUGCUUAGAGCAGGGCCUUCCCCUAAUUGAAGCCAGAAGCAAAGCCUUUCGUGGGAAAGCCGCAGGGACUCACCUAGUGUUCCACUUUACCUUACUUGAUGUAUGUUUUAAACAACAUCACAUAAGCUGCCAGCAGCUAGCAGCUCCAAGGUUAACCCAAGGACAAGAGCAUCUCUCCCCACAUUCCUGAGUAUGGCCUGCGGAGACUCUGAAAAUGACGGAACAGAUCUGGCAGACUUUUUCACAUUGCCAGCUUUGCAAACCCACCUGAAAAUCAAUGGAUGUCUUCCUCUUGCUGUUGACAGCACCAGAACAUGUUGUUCUUCAGCUAAUUGGAUAUUACAACACCAAGGCUAAACAGAUAUGCACUAGAUAGCAUAAACCUGGGGGGCCCAACUUUUCCACCGGGAAGCAGAAUGUAUUGGACAGGUGAUUUCACUUUAAUAAGCCUUUCUUUGCUUUCUAAAAAGGCAAUAACCGUGCUUAUGUAUAAAACUUUGUAAAGAUUAAACACAGUAAAUACUUAGUGGCAGGUAUUUUACUUAUUAAUAAUUGAAACUGAUCUGUAUUGACUGACAAAGACAAAAGAAAACGUGAUCCAUGCUUAAUAAAAGAAAACAGCUAGCUACUAGGGGCUCUAUGGCUGCAGUCCCUUCUGACUCGAACAGAAGGUAAGCCUUGAAAAGUGCA